CUACGGGUGGCACCAGUGAGGAAUAUUGCACAAUGGGGGGAACCCUGAUGCAGCAACGCCGCGUGGAGGAUGACGCAUUUCGGUGUGUAAACUCCUUUUAUAUGUCAAGAAAAUGACGGUAGCAUAUGAAUAAGCACCGGCUAACUCCGUGCCAGCAGCCGCGGUAAUACGGAGGGUGCAAGCGUUACUCGGAAUCACUGGGCGUAAAGGACGCGUAGGCGGGUUGGAAAGUCAGGUGUGAAAUCCUACAGCUUAACUGUAGAACUGCACUUGAAACUUCUAAUCUAGAGUAUGGGAGGGGGAGAUGGAAUUAGUGGUGUAGGGGUAAAAUCCGUAGAUAUCACUAAGAAUACCUAAAGCGAAGGCGAUCUCCUGGAACAUUACUGACGCUAAGGCGUGAAAGCGUGGGGAGCAAACAGGGUUAGAUACCCCAGUAGUC
Molecule: ribosomal RNA, 439 nt
Filed under: uncultured bacterium
Lineage: Bacteria
Description: partial 16S ribosomal RNA
Rfam family: Bacterial small subunit ribosomal RNA
Source: RNAcentral